UUAAAAUUACCGCCGGGUAUCUGCCUUUCACUCAUUCCAUUAGGCCAUUGAAGGAAUGAGUGAAAGGCGAUUUUUAUU
This 78-nucleotide non-coding RNA is filed under the name unclassified sequences. The record is from RNAcentral.